GACGAACGCAGGCGGCGUGCUCAACACACUCAAGUCGAACGGAGUGGCGAACGGGUGAGUAACACGUCGUUGUUCUCCCUUGCACUUCGGGAUCAGCUUGGGACACUGGGUCUAAUAUCGGAUAGUGCAAGAUGAGCUCGCGGCCUAUCAGCUUGUUGGUGGGGUAAUUGCCUACCAAGGCGUCGACGGGUAGCCGGCCUGAGAGGGUGUACGGGCACCUUGGGACUGAGAUACGGCCCAGACUCCUACGGGAGGCAGCAGUGGGGAAUAUUGCACAAUGGGCGGAAGCCUGAUGCAGCGACGCCGCGUGGGGGAUGAAGGCCUUCGGGUUGUAAACUCCUUUCGACAGGGACGCGGUACCUGUAUAAGAAGCACCGGCUAACUACGUGCCAGCAGCCGCGGUAAUUC
Molecule: ribosomal RNA, 408 nt
Filed under: uncultured bacterium
Lineage: Bacteria
Description: partial 16S ribosomal RNA
Rfam family: Bacterial small subunit ribosomal RNA
Source: RNAcentral